UUUGGCUUGUUACGGGUGGUUGGAUGUCUGCUUGCGCAGGAACGUCCACGCGUGCAUGCCUCUUCAGUUGUGUUGCAAGGCCUCGAUGGCCUUGUGCAUUAUGUGGGUUUUCUGUGCUGAAUACCUAAUCGAUGGCAUCGUAUGGAUCGAAGAAGCCCAUUUCCGUCGUGCGUCGCUCGUUUGACGCGCGAUGGACCCUCAGGCGGUCUCUGUCGUCCAUCUCGUUGAGGCAUGCGCAUUGACGACCUGGCCGACGGAGAAACGCUUGGUGUCUCGGAUACGGAACCUGAUGUGGGCAAGGGGUCUGUCAAGACCCGCAUCUGCCCUCGUCUAGCGUUCUCGCUUCUCUGAAACGACAGCCCAUGGUGUCUCGGCUUGUCCGUGCUCCAUGGGCUACGUCGACGA
This 405-nucleotide unclassified non-coding RNA is filed under the name Carlina vulgaris. RNAcentral describes it as "partial contains external transcribed spacer and 18S ribosomal RNA". The record is from RNAcentral. Lineage: Eukaryota; Viridiplantae; Streptophyta; Magnoliopsida; Asterales; Asteraceae.